UCCGGCAGGAAACAAAGCGCAGGACUUGCUCUAUUUUAAUCCUGCCAAGGGUCUUCUUGGAAGCGAGGCAGAGCCCGGCUGUGCAGAGUUAAGAAUGAAACCCUAUUUUUAGCCUGUCCCCGGUGAGGGAAGAACUGAAGCCCAGAUCGGUGUGGUCUCCUGACGGUGACCUCCAAGCACCCAAAAGUGAAGGGCAGGGUUUUGGUAACUGAGUGGCUGCCGUUUAAACUCAGCCCAGUCCAACAGUGGCAAGGAGCCACUGGUGCACCUGACUGCCCAAGUGUCCUACAGGUGGAUGGGCUGCGCGAGGCUUGUCUUCACUGCAGAACCACAGAGCAUCUGGGGCUGAGGCUGAGCAACCUCACUGCAAAACCCAACUGGGAGAGAUGGAGUGAGCACUGCAGGGACUUCAGGAGGCAUGUCUGCAGGUAUCUGAGCGCUGCCGCUUUUCAAAGCAGAAGGACUGCUGUUAAUAUUCAUGGAAAGGAAGAUGAAAAGGCACUGGAGAAGGGAGUGCGUGGCGGGGUACCGAGGAAGUCCCAGCAUGUUUUAUCCUGUGCUUGCAGCGGAGAGAGGAAGGCUCGCAGUCCAAGUGCAGCUGCUCUGUGCUACAGAUUGCACUCGCAGAUUGUCAUCCUGCCAGCUGCCCCCAGCGCCAAACCUAAGGCUCUAGUGUGAAGCAGCACUAAUUUAAGGCAGCCCCUGAGCUCUCUCUGAAGCGAAGGCUCUUCACCCAGUAAGCCCAGCACAGCUCAAAUGAGCGUCGCUGCUGGCAACCUCAGCUGUAAAGCCAUGGUCUGAAACAGAAACACCUCCAGACGUGAUCUCUCCUGAAUAAAAACUUAAUUUGCUGCUG
Molecule: long non-coding RNA, 856 nt
Organism: Numida meleagris (helmeted guineafowl)
Lineage: Eukaryota; Metazoa; Chordata; Aves; Galliformes; Numididae
Exons: 2
Source: RefSeq, a predicted model, not a curated record